Molecule: long non-coding RNA, 1274 nt
Organism: Malaclemys terrapin pileata
Lineage: Eukaryota; Metazoa; Chordata; Testudines; Emydidae
Exons: 2
Source: RefSeq, a predicted model, not a curated record
AGUGUAUUUCCCACAGCCCGUUCGCUGGGCCUUUGCCCAGCUUCAGAUCACCUGGGAUCUGCCGGCCCCAGGUAAUUACGUCAUUUAAAACCUUGGUGUAAUUCUCCAGGCCUUGCAUGUGUCCUGGUUGGCAGCUUUGCAUUUCCUUUGCUAGCUUGGGUCUCACGCAGGCAGUACCUUAGAAAAUCAUUCCAGCCCAGAGAGUGUGACCAAGGCAGGACAGACCGUGCUGGGGAAGAGCGGCGCCCCAGCGAACAGCAUUUAUCCCGGAUUGAACACCUCAACUUGCAGAUGAAGAGAACUGGCAGGCCCCACCGGUGAGCCCUCAACUAUCCUAAUGGCUUUGUAUGUGUGUGGCUGGUGGAAACUGACAGCACCAUUGACUAAGGGAAGGCCCCAGCUGCAAGUUACAGAGUGAACAAAUGAGUGGCAGAGCAGGGACUAGACCCCAGGAGUCCUGAUUCCCAGUCAGCUGCUGCUUCCUCGUGGAGCCAUGGUAGCUGAACAUCACCCAGCACAAGAGAGUGAAUCCAGGUGCUGCGGCCAGAGCUGCCAGGCAAUUCCACACACCUGGUUCUUCAGCUCCCAGACCACCAGCCUCUGGCCUGUGAGCUAGAGGAGAUCUCCUGCAGCUGCCUCCAGUGCCCCUGCUGAAACGACCCCGCGCAGAGGGCAAAGAGCGUCUGGAAUCCCCCACACGUCUGUACGCACCAGAACGCCGCCCGGCCCAGCUUUCCAGCAGAGGGGAGGAAAAAUGAACAGUAGAUUCCAUAGUGAUCACCUCGUCUGACCCCCAGAGACCUGCCCCCUGAGUCGCUCCUAGGGCAGAUCCCUUAGAAAACCAGCCCGUCUCGAUCUAAAGAUUGUCAGCGAUGGAGAACCCGCCACAACCUCAGCCAGUUGUGUGACGAACUGGGACUGUUCUUGCUGGGGUGUGGGAAUGCUGACAGGGGAGUGUGACUAGGAUGGUCUGCAUCGGGGGAUGGGAGUCGGCCCAAGGGAACAUACCUGAGCUUGUAACAUGAGAACCCAGGAGGGGAUUGGAGGUCAGGUGACUCCGGGGCCCUGGAAACUGAACAAAGGCUGUGGGAGGGGUCGCUGAAGGAGAGUGUGGGAAGCAGGCUGGAGAGAUGGCUGGGGGGCAGAGAUGGCUCUGACCUCCCAAGGGGGGCUGGGACCCCAAGAUGGACCAAACUGAGGGGGUCCCAGUUGUCUGUGCCUGCAAGACCUGUCUUGGACUGUAUUCCUGUCAUCCAAAUAAACCUUCUGCUUUA